ACAUGCAUAUCAUGAACAAUGGAUUGGAUCCUGGUGUAGCUCCUGACCUUACCAGCUCCGAUCAAACUAUCCAAUCCAUACCAGCAUGGAGAACAGACGUUAAAUGAU
Long non-coding RNA from Octopus sinensis (East Asian common octopus), 108 nucleotides. RefSeq lists it as uncharacterized. The transcript has 3 exons. The record is from RefSeq and is a predicted model, not a curated record. NCBI's taxonomy places the organism in Eukaryota, Metazoa, Mollusca, Cephalopoda, Octopoda, Octopodidae.